UUUUUUUUUCUUUUUGCAACUGUCCUGUAACAAUAAAAGAGACAGAGUAGAUCAGAGCCACGCCGCGAGCAGCGCAGCGUCGGGCCGCAGAGCCUCUCCGCCGUUGGGGACGUGCUCCCGCAGCGUGGCGAAGCCCAGGUUCACCAGCUUCACCCGGUUGCGCUCCCGCUCGUUGCGCCGCGCCACGGCCGCCGGCUGCUGCUGAGGCAGGCUGUACCCGAACCCGCUGAAGUUGAGCCUCCUCUUGCAGCGCAUCAGCUCCGGCGAGGCCGAGCGCUGCCGCUUGGCC
Taeniopygia guttata (zebra finch) is the source of this 289-nucleotide non-coding RNA. The record is from RefSeq and is a predicted model, not a curated record. NCBI's taxonomy places the organism in Eukaryota, Metazoa, Chordata, Aves, Passeriformes, Estrildidae.